RNAcentral lists this ribosomal RNA (277 nucleotides) under uncultured bacterium. RNAcentral describes it as "partial 16S ribosomal RNA". It matches the Rfam family "Bacterial small subunit ribosomal RNA", at positions 28 to 300 of the family's 1533-position model. The record is from RNAcentral.
GAUCAACGCUGGCGGCGUGCCUAAUGCAUGCAAGUCGAACGGGUUCUGGGUUCGCCUGGAGCCAGUGGCGGACGGGUGCGGAACACGUACGAGACCUGCCCUUCAGUGGGGAAUACCCCUCCGAAAGGAGGGCUAAUGCCGCAUACGGUCGUCUGGGUGAUGCCGGACGAGGAAAGCCUUUGUGAAAGAAGGGGCUGAAGGAGGGGCGUGCGGCCGAUUAGCUGGUUGGUGGGGUAAUGGCCUACCAAGGCUGCGAUCGGUAGCUGGUCUGAGAGGA